Molecule: non-coding RNA, 86 nt
Organism: Mycena galopus ATCC 62051
Lineage: Eukaryota; Fungi; Basidiomycota; Agaricomycetes; Agaricales; Mycenaceae
Source: the annotation of a GenBank genome assembly
GUCGACAUAGCUUAGUGGUUGAGCAUACGAUUGCAAUGCAAGUCUCCGAUAUCGUGAGGUCCCGUGUUCGAACCACGGUGUCGACU